This 472-nucleotide ribosomal RNA is filed under the name uncultured organism. Its description in RNAcentral is "partial 16S ribosomal RNA". It matches the Rfam family "Bacterial small subunit ribosomal RNA", at positions 335 to 798 of the family's 1533-position model. The record is from RNAcentral.
ACUCCUACGGGAGGCAGCAGUGGGGAAUAUUGCACAAUGGGCGCAAGCCUGAUGCAGCCAUGCCGCGUGUAUGAAGAAGGCCUUCGGGUUGUAAAGUACUUUCAGCGGGGAGGAAGGCAAUACGGUUAAUAACCGUGUUGAUUGACGUUACCCGCAGAAGAAGCACCGGCUAACUCCGUGCCAGCAGCCGCGGUAAUACGGAGGGUGCAAGCGUUAAUCGGAAUUACUGGGCGUAAAGCGCACGCAGGCGGUCUGUCAAGUCGGAUGUGAAAUCCCCGGGCUCAACCUGGGAACUGCAUUCGAAACUGGCAGGCUUGAGUCUUGUAGAGGGGGGUAGAAUGCCAGGUGUAGCGGUGAAAUGCGUAGAGAUCUGGAGGAAUACCGGUGGCGAAGGCGGCCCCCUGGACAAAGACUGACGCUCAGGUGCGAAAGCGUGGGGAGCAAACAGGAUUAGAAACCCCGGUAGUCCCAU